RNAcentral lists this ribosomal RNA (503 nucleotides) under uncultured bacterium. RNAcentral's name for it is "partial 16S ribosomal RNA". It matches the Rfam family "Bacterial small subunit ribosomal RNA", at positions 30 to 523 of the family's 1533-position model. The record is from RNAcentral.
AUUGAACGCUGGCGGCAGGCUUAACACAUGCAAGUCGAGCGGGGUGAUGGUGCUUGCACUAUCACUUAGCGGCGGACGGGUGAGUAAUGCUUAGGAAUCUGCCUAUUAGUGGGGGACAACAUCUCGAAAGGGAUGCUAAUACCGCAUACGUACUACGGGAGAAAGCAGGGGAUCACUUGUGACCUUGCGCUAAUAGAUGAGCCUAAGUCGGAUUAGCUAGUUGGUGGGGUAAAGGCCUACCAAGGCGAAGAUCUGUAGCGGGUCUGAGAGGAUGCUCCGCCACACUGGGACUGUGACACGGCCCAGACUCCUACAGGAGGCAGCAGUGGGGAAGAUUGGACAAUGGGUGGAACCCUGAUCCAGCCAUGCCGCGUGUGUGAAGAAGGCCUUAUGUUUGUAAAGCACUUUAAGCGAGGAGGAGGCUCUUUUGGUUAAUACCCAAGAUGAGUGGACGUGACUCGCAGAAUAAGCACCGGCUAACUCUGUGCCAGCCGCCGCAGUAA